UACGUAGGGGGCUAGCGUUGUCCGGAUUUAUUGGGCGUAAAGAGCGUGUAGGCGGCCAGAUAGGUCUGCUGUGAAAACUCGAGGCUCAACCUCGAGAUGUCGGCGGAAACCAUUUGGCUAGAGUCCGGAAGAGGAAAGUGGAAUUCCUGGUGUAGCGGUGGAAUGCGCAGAUAUCAGGAGGAACACCGGUGGCGAAGGCGGGUCUCUGGGCCUGUCCUGACGCUCAGGCGCGAAAGCUAGGGGAGCAAACAGG
This 253-nucleotide ribosomal RNA is filed under the name uncultured bacterium. RNAcentral describes it as "partial 16S ribosomal RNA". It matches the Rfam family "Bacterial small subunit ribosomal RNA", at positions 524 to 776 of the family's 1533-position model. The record is from RNAcentral.